CAUAGCCCUAAAAUUAAGCAAAAUGAAUGGUAUGUUUAUUUUAAUUGGUUCCUAGAGGCUUCUAAAUGUGUACAAAACUUUAAAACUGCCUCCCUGCAGGAGACCGUGUCUAAAUUAACCAAGACAACCAAAAAACUGAGAGAGCAAAAUAGCUUCUGAAGUGUCAUGUUGCCCUCCCCCUUCUUCUUUGUCUCAGGCACCAUCUUGUUUGUCUUCCCAGACUCCUUUGUCUCAGGCUCCCCUCUGAGGAUACAAACAGACCUCAGGUCUCUUAUGUUCAAUGGACUACUGCUGAAUUGAAAGCCAUCGACACAGCAGGCCCAUCCCAUGCUAGGGCCUUUGCACAGGCUGCUACUGCACCUGGAACGUCCUUCCUCUUUCUUGUGCACCCAGCAAACCCAAGCCCACUGUCACCUGUCCAUGAGAGGAGCCCCUUGGACUCCCUAAGCUACGAGUACUCCUUCCUGGACACCCCCAGCAGUUUCGGUCACUUUGCUUGCACUGGGGAAGUAUCUAAUGUACGUGAGGAUUCGUGUUUAGCUGUUGCUGCACUUCUCUGAAUCCGAGGGCAUGUACCAGAGGCUUCUGUGAAGGCAGAAUGGAGGGAAUCCUGUAGGCAAGGAGGAGCCGCGCCCCUCAUCGUCCCCUGUGCAGGGAUGGUGCAGGGUCUCUGAGACAGGGGCUCUCAUGAUCAUGCAUCUGCGUUUACACUUGCCAUUGUCACCCCUGUGGCCCCCACCCUUGGGGUACACAAGAAAUCCUGUACAGGUUGUACACAGAUGUACUUUACGGGCAGUUUUUGGCAUUAGAUGCUGUGGUAGACCGAACAAUGAUUUCUCCCAAACGUGAGCAUUCUAAUCCAUAGAACCCGUGAAGAUAUAAUGUUCAUGGCAAAGGGGAAUUAAGGUUGCUAAUCAGCUGACCUUGAGAUGGGAAGAAUCUCCUGGAUAUCUGCGUGGGCCCAGUGUAAUCACAGCAUCCUUAAGAGUGGGUGAGGGAGUCUGCAGAGGAGAUGUGAUAAUGGGGGCAAGGCCCCACAUCGUAAUUGUUGGCUUCCAGGAUGGAGGAAGGGGACAAAGCCAAGAAAUGCCAGCAGCCUCUAGUGACUGAAAAAGGCAAGGACAUGGAUUCUUCGCCAGAGCCUGGAAAGGAGGGCAGUCCUG
Molecule: long non-coding RNA, 1163 nt
Organism: Equus asinus (donkey)
Lineage: Eukaryota; Metazoa; Chordata; Mammalia; Perissodactyla; Equidae
Source: Ensembl